Molecule: ribosomal RNA, 503 nt
Filed under: uncultured bacterium
Lineage: Bacteria
Description: partial 16S ribosomal RNA
Rfam family: Bacterial small subunit ribosomal RNA
Source: RNAcentral
AUUGAACGCUGGCGGCAGGCUUAACACAUGCAAGUCGAGCGGGGUGAUGGUGCUUGCACUAUCACUUAGCGGCGGACGGGUGAGUAAUGCUUAGGAAUCUGCCUAUUAGUGGGGGACAACAUCUCGAAAGGGAUGCUAAUACCGCAUACGUCCUACGGGAGAAAGCAGGGGAUCACUUGUGACCUUGCGCUAAUAGAUGAGCCUAAGUCGGAUUAGCUAGUUGGUGGGGUAAAGGCCUACCAAGGCGACGAUCUGUAGCGGGUGUGAGAGGAUGAUCCGCCACACUGGGACUGAGGCACGGCCCAGACUCCUACGGGGGGCAGCAGUGGGGAAUAUUGGACAAUGGGGGGAACCCUGAUCCAGCCAUGCCGCGUGUGUGAAGAAGGCCUUAUGGUUGUAAAGCACUUUAAGCGAGGAGGAGGCUCUUUUGGUUAAUACCCAAGAUGAGUGGACGUUACUCGCAGAAUAAGCACCGGCUAACUCUGUGCCAGCCGCCGCCGUAA